GACGAACGCUGGCGGCGUGCCUAAUACAUGCAAGUAGAACGCUGAAGAGAGGAGCUUGCUCUUCUUGGAUGAGUUGCGAACGGGUGAGUAACGCGUAGGUAACCUGCCUUGUAGCGGGGGAUAACUAUUGGAAACGAUAGCUAAUACCACAUAACAAUGGAUGACACAUGUCAUUUAUUUGAAAGGGGCAAUUGCUCCACUACAAGAUGGACAUGCGUUGUAUUAGCUAGUAGGUGAGGUAACGGCUCACCUAGGCGACGAUACAUAGCCGACCUGAGAGGGUGAUCGGCCACACUGGGACUGAGACACGGCCCAGACUCCUACGGGAGGCAGCAGUAGGGAAUCUUCGGCAAUGGGGGCAACCCUGACCGAGCAACGCCGCGUGAGUGAAGAAGGUUUUCGGAUCGUAAAGCUCUGUUGUAAGUCAAGAACGAGUGUGAGAGUGGAAAGUUCACACUGUGACGGUAGCUUACCAGAAAGGGACGGCUAACUACGUGCCAGCCGCCGCGGUAA
RNAcentral lists this ribosomal RNA (513 nucleotides) under uncultured bacterium. Its description in RNAcentral is "partial 16S ribosomal RNA". It matches the Rfam family "Bacterial small subunit ribosomal RNA", at positions 28 to 523 of the family's 1533-position model. The record is from RNAcentral.